CCCGCUCAGAAACUCAAAGGAAUUGACGGGGAGCACCACAACAGGUGGAGCCUGCGGUUUAAUUGGACUCAACGCCGGAAAUCUCACCGGAUAAGACAGCUGAAUGAUUGUCGGGCUGAAGACUCUACAUGACUAGCUGAGAGGUGGUGCAUGGCCGUCGUCAGUUCGUACUGUGAAGCAUCCUGUUAAGUCAGGCAACGAGCGAGACCCACGCCAACAGUUGCCAGCAUGGCCUCCGGGCUGAUGGGGACACUGUUGGGACCGCCUCUGCUAAAGAGGAGGAAGGAAUGGGCAACGGUAAGUCAGCAUGCCCCGAAUUAUCCGGGCUACACGCGGGCUACAAUGGGCAGGACAAUGGGUAUCGACACCGAAAGGUGAAGGCAAUCUCUUAAACCUGUCCGUAGUUCGGAUUGUGGGCUGUAACUCGCCCACAUGAAGCUGGAAUCUGUAGUAAUCGCGUUUCAACAUAACGCGGUGAAUGUGUCCCUGCUCCUU
RNAcentral lists this ribosomal RNA (495 nucleotides) under uncultured Methanoculleus sp. RNAcentral's name for it is "bacterial SSU rRNA". It matches the Rfam family "Archaeal small subunit ribosomal RNA", at positions 843 to 1338 of the family's 1478-position model. Lineage: Archaea; Methanobacteriati; Methanobacteriota; Methanomicrobia; Methanomicrobiales; Methanomicrobiaceae. The record is from RNAcentral.